This 76-nucleotide transfer RNA is filed under the name Candidatus Uhrbacteria bacterium. RNAcentral describes it as "tRNA-Thr". It matches the Rfam family "tRNA". Rfam says of the family: Transfer RNA (tRNA) molecules are approximately 80 nucleotides in length. The record is from RNAcentral. Lineage: Bacteria; Candidatus Uhriibacteriota.
GCCACCUUAGCUCAGCUGGUAGAGCAACGGUUUUGUAAACCGUAGGUCAUCGGUUCAAGUCCGAUAGGUGGCUCCA